RNAcentral lists this long non-coding RNA (851 nucleotides) under Ananas comosus (pineapple). RNAcentral describes it as "long non-coding RNA (ACOM_LNC002420)". Lineage: Eukaryota; Viridiplantae; Streptophyta; Magnoliopsida; Poales; Bromeliaceae. The record is from RNAcentral.
AAGCUGAUUGCGCAAUCUUUCAAAAUUUUGAUUUUUAUUAUUCAACUUUUUAAUUUGUUUGAUUUGAGUCCGUCAACGACAAUUUGAUUUCAACAUUUAAGUUAAUUAUUUACUUUAAUAAAUUUGUAAUUAUGAUAAUUACAUGAAGUACACUAAAUUAAUCUAUAAAAAUAAGCGACUCAUUCCAAAUUUAAAGUCAAAAUACUGUUGAUCGACUCAAAUCAAACAAAUUGAAAAUAUUAAGUACAAAAAUUAAAAUUUUGAAAGAUUAAGCAGGUAAUUCAAAAUGGUCCAUACUUCAGGUAAGUUUCAUAUGUUUUUACCUAAUAUUCAAACCUACCACAAUUAUUGCUUACAUUGAUUGAUAUGACUGUCUAAUCUUUAAAAUUUUUAAUUUUUCUAUCUAAUUUAUUUAUUUAUUUAAUUCGAGCUAAUAAAUGGUUAUUCAGCUUCAUCAUUUAAAUGCAUCAUUUAUUUUCAUGACUAUAAUUACUAUAUUUUAUAUAACUUUUAUAAAUAUAUCUUAGUUCAAAUUAUAUCAGAAGAUCCAUCAAAUAGUUUAAAUCAAAUAAAAAAAAAAUUGAGUACCAAGAUUAAAAUUUUGAAAGGUUCAUCGGUUAGGAUCAAUAUGGUUUAUUGUUGGUGCAACUUCUAUGCAUUUUUUUUUUACCGACCGUUCCUAGAGCAAAUGGCAAAGAGUUUGGUGGUUGGUACCCGAGGUCCCAAAUUUGAAUCCUAGUUGAUUCACAUUUCUAACUAAAUUUAUUUUUAAAUAAAAUAAACGAAACGGGUAGCCUGCCACGUAUCUCUUAAAAAAAAAAAAAAACUUCUAUGCAUUUUUAUUAUCAAAA